RNAcentral lists this ribosomal RNA (451 nucleotides) under uncultured organism. RNAcentral's name for it is "partial 16S ribosomal RNA". It matches the Rfam family "Bacterial small subunit ribosomal RNA", at positions 332 to 799 of the family's 1533-position model. The record is from RNAcentral.
UACACUCCUGCGGGAGGCAGCAGUGGGGAAUAUUGGACAAUGGGCGCAAGCCUGAUCCAGCCAUGCCGCGUGAGUGAUGAAGGCCCUAGGGUUGUAAAGCUCUUUCACCGGUGAAGAUAAUGACGGUAACCGGAGAAGAAGCCCCGGCUAACUUCGUGCCAGCAGCCGCGGUAAUACGAAGGGGGCUAGCGUUGUUCGGAUUUACUGGGCGUAAAGCGCACGUAGGCGGACUAUUAAGUCAGGGGUGAAAUCCCGGGGCUCAACCCCGGAACUGCCUUUGAUACUGGUAGUCUUGAGUUCGAGAGAGGUGAGUGGAAUUCCGGGUGUAGAGGUGAAAUUCGUAGAUAUUCGGAGGAACACCAGUGGCGAAGGCGGCUCACUGGCUCGAUACUGACGCUGAGGUGCGAAAGCGUGGGGAGCAAACAGGAUUAGAAACCCCGGUAGUCCCAUG